GGGCUUGUAAAGGUUUCGACGGGGGUUUUGAAGUUUGGGAAGCCAUCCGCGGCUUUUGGGACCGCGUUACCAACCUGAAAACUAAAUAUAAACGCAGAUAAUAAAGAAUUUGCAUUAGCAGCUUGAUGCUGCUUGUCGUGACUGAAGAGUCCUGCGGCUUUUAUCACGACAUCAUUUUAUCAGCAGGGAACUUCAUCUCCUAAGCUUUGCGGAGAAGGAAGAAACUAUGAAGCUACCGAGCCUGUAAGCCUGUCAUUUGGCGUAUAGGCAAGGGAAUUCCAAUAAAAUGACUGUGAUGGGAGAUGCCCGGAUGAAUAGGCUUUCGGACGCGGGUUCGAUUCCCGCCAGGUCCACU
Molecule: transfer-messenger RNA, 355 nt
Filed under: human gut metagenome
Rfam family: transfer-messenger RNA
About the family: Bacterial tmRNA, also known as 10Sa RNA or SsrA, is named for its dual tRNA and mRNA-like properties. Its role is to liberate the mRNA from a stalled ribosome. To accomplish this part of the tmRNA is used as a reading frame that ends in a translation stop signal.
Source: RNAcentral